GACGAACGCUGGCGGCGUACUUAACACAUGCAAGUCGAGCGGAGCGGCGAACGGGUGAGUAACGCGUGAGUAACUGCCCCCCUCUCUGGGAUAACAGUUGGAAACGGCUGCUAAUACCGGAAAGUGGGGGAUGACGCGCGUCCUAUCAGCUUGUUGGUGGGGUAGUGGCCUACCAAGGCGAGGACGGGUAGCCGCCCUGAGAGGGCGACCGGCCACAGUGGGCUGGGGUAGGGGCCGAACGCCUCCGUGAGGCAGGAGUGGAGAAGAUUGGGAGAGGGGGGGAGCGCGGAUGCAGCAACGCCGCGUGGGAGAGGACUGCCUUCGGGGUGGAAACGGCUUCCAGCGAUGACGCGGUAGUGGCAGAGGAAGCACCGGCUAACUACGUGCCAGCAGCCGCGGUAAUUC
RNAcentral lists this ribosomal RNA (405 nucleotides) under uncultured bacterium. Its description in RNAcentral is "partial 16S ribosomal RNA". It matches the Rfam family "Bacterial small subunit ribosomal RNA", at positions 28 to 526 of the family's 1533-position model. The record is from RNAcentral.